AUUGAACGCUGGCGGCAGGCCUAACACAUGCAAGUCGAGCGGUAACACAGAGGAGCUUUGCUCCUUGGGUGACGAGCGGCGGACGGGUGAGUAAUGCCUGGGGAUCUGCCCGAUAGAGGGGGAUAACUACGGGAAACUGUAGCUAAUACCGCAUAACGUCUACGGACCAAAGUGGGGGCUCUUCGGACCUCAUGCUAUCGGAUGAACCCAGGUGGGAUUAGCUAGUUGGUGAGGUAAUGGCUCACCAAGGCGACGAUCUCUAACUGGUUUGAGAGAAUGACCAGUCACACUGGAACUGAGACACGGUCCAGACUCCUACGGGAGGCAGCAGUGGGGAAUAUUGCACAAUGGGCGCAAGCCUGAUGCAGCCAUGCCGCGUGUGUGAAGAAGGCCUUCGGGUUGUAAAGCACUUUCAGCGGGGAGGAAGGGUCACUAGUUAAUACCUAGUGGCAUUGACGUUACUCGCAGAAGAAGCACCGGCUAACUCCGUGCCAGCAGCCGCGGUAAUACGGAGGGUGCAAGCGUUAAUCGGAAUUACUGGGCGUAAAGCGCACGCAGGCGGUUUGUUAAGUCAGAUGUGAAAUCCCCGAGCUCAACUUGGGAACUGCAUUUGAAACUGGCAAGCUAGAGUCUUGUAGAGGGGGGUAGAAUUCCAGGUGUAGCGGUGAAAUGCGUAGAGAUCUGGAGGAAUACCGGUGGCGAAGGCGGCCCCCUGGACAAAGACUGACGCUCAGGUGCGAAAGCGUGGGGAGCAAACAGGAUUAGAUACCCUGGUAGUCCACGCUGUAAACGAUGUCGAUUUGGAGGUUGUGCCCUUGAGGCGUGGCUUCCGGAGCUAACGCGUUAAAUCGACCGCCUGGGGAGUACGGCCGCAAGGUUAAAACUCAAAUGAAUUGACGGGGGCCCGCACAAGCGGUGGAGCAUGUGGUUUAAUUCGAUGCAACGCGAAGAACCUUACCUACUCUUGACAUCCAGAGAACUUUCCAGAGAUGGAUUGGUGCCUUCGGGAACUCUGAGACAGGUGCUGCAUGGCUGUCGUCAGCUCGUGUUGUGAAA
Molecule: ribosomal RNA, 1056 nt
Filed under: uncultured bacterium
Lineage: Bacteria
Description: bacterial SSU rRNA
Rfam family: Bacterial small subunit ribosomal RNA
Source: RNAcentral